AGAAAGACAAACCAUCGGUUUCCGUUGCCAAUUUUAACUGUCCGUCUUAUAUGAAAUUUUUUUAUAAUUCGUAUUUUCAUCGUUGUUAGAUAAUAAAAUAUGAUUAAUAUUUUAUUCAUGACUUGUCUUUUUAUUUUUUUUUCAUAAUUUUUUCAAAUAAGACGAACGGUUAAACGUUGGGCACGGAAACCAGAGUUUGUCUUUUUU
This is a microRNA precursor of Oryza sativa Indica Group (long-grained rice), 207 nucleotides long. It matches the Rfam family "MIR812 microRNA precursor family". NCBI's taxonomy places the organism in Eukaryota, Viridiplantae, Streptophyta, Magnoliopsida, Poales, Poaceae. The record is from Rfam.